Long non-coding RNA from Mytilus californianus (California mussel), 545 nucleotides. RefSeq lists it as uncharacterized. The transcript has 2 exons. NCBI's taxonomy places the organism in Eukaryota, Metazoa, Mollusca, Bivalvia, Mytilida, Mytilidae. The record is from RefSeq and is a predicted model, not a curated record.
UAUAAAUGUCACAUGUACAAAAUCUACUGUGAAGCAAUAUGCUGUCAUAAUUUAACACAGGAUUUUCCACUUGUAAUCCAAAUUGUGUGAGUUUUCCAAAUAAAAUUUGUGUUGCCUGUUGACUCCAAAUAAUAUAAUGGGGAGAGUUCAUGUUUUAGUAUGGGAAACCCCAAAAUCACUCCGAUCAAAUAUAGGUGUACAGCUUCGUGUCAUGUAGAAUAAAUUGCUUCGCCGAGCGCAGCUGGAUACGACCACAGAGGUCCAACCCUGAACAGUUAGGGCAAAAAUGGACACAAUAUUCAUGCUUGAUACAGGUCUGAAUUUGGAUUGAAAUUAAAUGUUUGACACAUAAUAGGUUUCUGACACAGAAUAACUGUAGUCAAAGAACUUAGAAUUGGUUAUAUGAUUUGAAUUUAUAUUCAAUUUUUUGCUUUUGUGCAAUACACUAUGCUGUUGCAAAUUGCUCCCCCCCCAAAAAAAAAUAUUUACCCCCCAACCCUCCUUUUUUUUUUGCUUUUGUGCAAUACACUAUGCUGUUGCGAAUU